CAAGCAGGGUGAGCAAACAGAAUUGCCAGUGCUCAGCCUCAGAGAGGAAGGUGGAAUCAAGAAUGGCCAAAUGUUUGAGGAGAGCUGAUGUCAUAACGCAGGAGCAUCCAGAUGACGAGUGAGGGAAUUAGCUCUGAGAAGACAGAGGGAACAGCACAAGUAGAAAGGACUUUAGGUUUCUCCCCUCAUGGUUUCAACCAUUCUGGAUGUGUCACAAAUCAGCUUGCA
RNAcentral lists this long non-coding RNA (228 nucleotides) under Homo sapiens (human). RNAcentral's name for it is "HSALNT0250958". Lineage: Eukaryota; Metazoa; Chordata; Mammalia; Primates; Hominidae. The record is from RNAcentral.